UAGCAGAUGCUAUCCGUUCUUCUUCCCCUGGUCCUGAAAAAGCCACUGCUUCUGAAAAUGAGAACAAUUUCAUUGUGAUCAUACUCACAAGAUUAUUGGUCAGGCCUGAUGCUGCACCGCUUUUCUCAGAGUUGGUUCAUCUUUUUGGGCAGUCACUAGAAGAUUCAAUGUUAUUACAGGCUAAAUGGUUUUUGAGAGGCCAAGAUGUUCUUUUGGGACGAAAAA
Molecule: unclassified non-coding RNA, 225 nt
Filed under: Hevea brasiliensis (rubber tree)
Lineage: Eukaryota; Viridiplantae; Streptophyta; Magnoliopsida; Malpighiales; Euphorbiaceae
Source: RNAcentral